AACGAACGCUGGCGGCAUGCCUAACACAUGCAAGUCGAACGAGAUCUUCGGGUCUAGUGGCGCACGGGUGCGUAACGCGUGGGAAUCUGCCCUUUGGUUCGGAAUAACGGUUGGAAACGACUGCUAAUACCGGAUGAUGACGAAAGUCCAAAGAUUUAUCGCCAGAGGAUGAGCCCGCGUAGGAUUAGCUAGUUGGUGUGGUAAAGGCGCACCAAGGCGACGAUCCUUAGCUGGUCUGAGAGGAUGAUCAGCCACACUGGGACUGAGACACGGCCCAGACUCCUACGAGAGGCAGCAGUGGGGAAUAUUGGACAAUGGGCGAAAGCCUGAUCCAGCAAUGCCGCGUGAGUGAUGAAGGCCUUAGGGUUGUAAAGCUCUUUUACCCGGGAUGAUAAUGACAGUACCGGGAGAAUAAGCUCCGGCUAACUCCGUGCCAGCAGCCGCCGUAA
RNAcentral lists this ribosomal RNA (449 nucleotides) under uncultured bacterium. RNAcentral's name for it is "partial 16S ribosomal RNA". It matches the Rfam family "Bacterial small subunit ribosomal RNA", at positions 29 to 523 of the family's 1533-position model. The record is from RNAcentral.